CCUUAGUAGUGGCGAGCGAACGGGGAUUAGCCCUUAAGCUUCAUUGAUUUUAGCGGAACGCUCUGGAAAGUGCGGCCAUAGUGGGUGAUAGCCCCGUACGCGAAAGGAUCUUUGAAGUGAAAUCGAGUAGGACGGAGCACGAGAAACUUUGUCUGAACAUGGGGGGACCAUCCUCCAAGGCUAAAUACUACUGACUGACCGAUAGUGAACCAGUACCGUGAGGGAAAGGCGAAAAGAACCCCGGAGAGGGGAGUGAAAUAGAACCUGAAACCGUAUGCGUACAAGCAGUGGGAGCCUACUUGUUAGGUGACUGCGUACCUUUUGUAUAAUGGGUCAGCGACUUAUAUUCAGUGGCAAGCUUAACCGUAUAGGGUAGGCGUAGCGAAAGCGAGUCUUAAUAGGGCGUUUAGUCGCUGGGUAUAGACCCGAAACCGGGCGAUCUAUCCAUGAGCAGGUUGAAGGUUAGGUAACACUGACUGGAGGACCGAACCCACUCCCGUUGAAAAGGUAGGGGAUGACUUGUGGAUCGGAGUGAAAGGCUAAUCAAGCUCGGAGAUAGCUGGUUCUCCUCGAAAGCUAUUUAGGUAGCGCCUCAUGUAUCACUCUGGGGGGUAGAGCACUGUUUCGGCUAGGGGGUCAUCCCGACUUACCAAACCGAUGCAAACUCCGAAUACCCAGAAGUGCCGAGCAUGGGAGACACACGGCGGGUGCUAACGUCCGUCGUGAAAAGGGAAACAACCCAGACCGCCAGCUAAGGUCCCAAAGUUGUGGUUAAGUGGUAAACGAUGUGGGAAGGCUUAGACAGCUAGGAGGUUGGCUUAGAAGCAGCCAUCCUUUAAAGAAAGCGUAAUAGCUCACUAGUCGAGUCGGCCUGCGCGGAAGAUGUAACGGGGCUCAAACCACACACCGAAGCUGCGGGUGUCACGUAAGUGACGCGGUAGAGGAGCGUUCUGUAAGCCUGUGAAGGUGAGUUGAGAAGCUUGCUGGAGGUAUCAGAAGUGCGAAUGCUGACAUGAGUAACGACAAUGGGUGUGAAAAACACCCACGCCGAAAGACCAAGGGUUCCUGCGCAACGUUAAUCGACGCAGGGUUAGUCGGUUCCUAAGGCGAGGCUGAAAAGCGUAGUCGAUGGGAAACAGGUUAAUAUUCCUGUACUUCUGGUUACUGCGAUGGAGGGACGGAGAAGGCUAGGCCAGCUUGGCGUUGGUUGUCCAAGUUUAAGGUGGUAGGCUGAAAUCUUAGGUAAAUCCGGGGUUUCAAGGCCGAGAGCUGAUGACGAGUCGUCUUUUAGAUGACGAAGUGGUUGAUGCCAUGCUUCCAAGAAAAGCUUCUAAGCUUCAGGUAACCAGGAACCGUACCCCAAACCGACACAGGUGGUCGGGUAGAGAAUACCAAGGCGCUUGAGAGAACUCGGGUGAAGGAACUAGGCAAAAUGGCACCGUAACUUCGGGAGAAGGUGCGCCGGCUAGGGUGAAGGAUUUACUCCGUAAGCUCUGGCUGGUCGAAGAUACCAGGCCGCUGCGACUGUUUAUUAAAAACACAGCACUCUGCAAACACGAAAGUGGACGUAUAGGGUGUGACGCCUGCCCGGUGCCGGAAGGUUAAUUGAUGGGGUUAGCGCAAGCGAAGCUCUUGAUCGAAGCCCCGGUAAACGGCGGCCGUAACUAUAACGGUCCUAAGGUAGCGAAAUUCCUUGUCGGGUAAGUUCCGACCUGCACGAAUGGCGUAACGAUGGCGGCGCUGUCUCCACCCGAGACUCAGUGAAAUUGAAAUCGCUGUGAAGAUGCAGUGUAUCCGCGGCUAGACGGAAAGACCCCGUGAACCUUUACUGUAGCUUUGCACUGGACUUUGAGCCUGCUUGUGUAGGAUAGGUGGGAGGCUUUGAAGCGUGGACGCCAGUUCGCGUGGAGCCAUCCUUGAAAUACCACCCUGGCAUGCUUGAGGUUCUAACUCUGGUCCGUGAUCCGGAUCGAGGACAGUGUAUGGUGGGCAGUUUGACUGGGGCGGUCUCCUCCUAAAGAGUAACGGAGGAGUACGAAGGUGCGCUCAGACCGGUCGGAAAUCGGUCGCAGAGUAUAAAGGCAAAAGCGCGCUUGACUGCGAGACAGACACGUCGAGCAGGUACGAAAGUAGGUCUUAGUGAUCCGGUGGUUCUGUAUGGAAGGGCCAUCGCUCAACGGAUAAAAGGUACUCCGGGGAUAACAGGCUGAUACCGCCCAAGAGUUCAUAUCGACGGCGGUGUUUGGCACCUCGAUGUCGGCUCAUCACAUCCUGGGGCUGAAGCCGGUCCCAAGGGUAUGGCUGUUCGCCAUUUAAAGUGGUACGCGAGCUGGGUUUAGAACGUCGUGAGACAGUUCGGUCCCUAUCUGCCGUGGACGUUUGAGAUUUGAGAGGGGCUGCUCCUAGUACGAGAGGACCGGAGUGGACGAACCUCUGGUGUUCCGGUUGUCACGCCAGUGGCAUUGCCGGGUAGCUAUGUUCGGAAAAGAUAACCGCUGAAAGCAUCUAAGCGGGAAACUUGCCUCAAGAUGAGAUCUCACUGGGAACUUGAUUCCCCUGAAGGGCCGUCGAAGACUACGACGUUGAUAGGCUGGGUGUGUAAGCGUUGUGAGGCGUUGAGCUAACCAGUACUAAUUGCCCGUGAGGCUUGACCAU
Molecule: ribosomal RNA, 2655 nt
Filed under: Pseudomonas aeruginosa
Lineage: Bacteria; Pseudomonadati; Pseudomonadota; Gammaproteobacteria; Pseudomonadales; Pseudomonadaceae
Description: partial 23S ribosomal RNA
Rfam family: Bacterial large subunit ribosomal RNA
Source: RNAcentral